GGGGUUGUAGCUCUGUGGUAGAGCGCUUGCCUCGAAUGCGUGAGACCCUGGGUUCAAUCCCCAGCAUCACAA
Molecule: non-coding RNA, 72 nt
Organism: Ictidomys tridecemlineatus (thirteen-lined ground squirrel)
Lineage: Eukaryota; Metazoa; Chordata; Mammalia; Rodentia; Sciuridae
Source: Rfam